GAUGAACGCUGGCGGCGUGCCUAAUACAUGCAAGUCGAGCGAACGGACGAGAAGCUUGCUUCUCUGAUGUUAGCGGCGGACGGGUGAGUAACACGUGGAUAACCUACCUAUAAGACUGGGAUAACUUCGGGAAACCGGAGCUAAUACCGGAUAAUAUUUUGAACCGCAUGGUUCAAAAGUGAAGGACGGUCUUGCUGUCACUUAUAGAUGGAUCCGCGCUGCAUUAGCUAGUUGGUAAGGUAACGGCUUACCAAGGCAACGAUGCAUAGCCGACCUGAGAGGGUGUUCGGCCACACUGGAACUGAGACACGGUCCAGACUCCUACGGGAGGCAGCAGUAGGGAAUCUUCCGCAAUGGGCGAAAGCCUGACGGAGCAACGCCGCGUGAGUGAUGAAGGUCUUCGGAUCGUAAAACUCUGUUAUUAGGGAAGAACAUAUGUGUAAGUAACUGUGCACAUCUUGACGGUACCUAAUCAGAAAGCCACGGCUAACUACGUG
Molecule: ribosomal RNA, 497 nt
Filed under: uncultured bacterium
Lineage: Bacteria
Description: partial 16S ribosomal RNA
Rfam family: Bacterial small subunit ribosomal RNA
Source: RNAcentral